AUUGAACGCUGGCGGCAUGCCUUACACAUGCAAGUCGAACGGUAACGGGCCUUCGGGUGCCGACGAGUGGCGCACGGGUGAGUAAUACAUCGGAACGUGCCCGAUCGUGGGGGAUAACGAGGCGAAAGCUUUGCUAAUACCGCAUACGAUCUACGGAUGAAAGCAGGGGACCGCAAGGCCUUGCGCGGACGGGGCGGCCGAUGGCAGCUGUGGUCGUUGGUGGGGUAAAAGCUUACCAAGCCGACGAUCGGUAGCUGGUCUGAGAGGAGGAUCAGCCACACUGGGACUGAGACACGGCCCAGACUCCUACGGGAGGCAGCAGUGGGGAAUUUUGGACAAUGGGCGCAAGCCUGAUCCAGCCAUGCCGCGUGCAGGAUGAAGGCCUUCGGGUUGUAAACUGCUUUUGUACGGAACGAAAAGCCUUCUUUUAAUACAGGAGGGUCAUGACGGUACCGUAAGAAUAAGCACCGGCUAACUACGUG
Molecule: ribosomal RNA, 482 nt
Filed under: uncultured bacterium
Lineage: Bacteria
Description: partial 16S ribosomal RNA
Rfam family: Bacterial small subunit ribosomal RNA
Source: RNAcentral